CCUACGGGGCGCAGCAGUGGGGAAUAUUGCGCAAUGGGCGAAAGCCUGACGCAGCGACGCCGCGUGAGGGAUGAAGGUCUUCGGAUCGUAAACCUCUGUCAGCAGGGAAGAACGGUCACUGUGCUAAUCAGCAGUGAAUUGACGGUACCUGCAAAGGAAGCACCGGCUAACUCCGUGCCAGCAGCCGCGGUAAUACGGAGGGUGCGAGCGUUAAUCGGAAUUACUGGGCGUAAAGCGCUCGUAGGCGGUAUGUCAAGUUAGUGGUAAAACGUCGGGGCUUCACCUUGAUUGGCCAUUAAAACUGGAGUACUAGAGUACAGACGAGGUAGGCGGAAUAAGUUAAGUAGCGGUGAAAUGCUUAGAUAUAACUUAGAACCCCGAUAGCGAAGGCAGCUUACCAGACUGUUACUGACGCUGAAGCACGAGAGCGUGGGUAGCGAACAGGAUUAGAUACCCGGGUAGUC
RNAcentral lists this ribosomal RNA (464 nucleotides) under uncultured bacterium. RNAcentral's name for it is "partial 16S ribosomal RNA". It matches the Rfam family "Bacterial small subunit ribosomal RNA", at positions 338 to 795 of the family's 1533-position model. The record is from RNAcentral.